RNAcentral lists this long non-coding RNA (573 nucleotides) under Salvia miltiorrhiza (redroot sage). RNAcentral describes it as "long non-coding RNA (SMIL_LNC000382)". The record is from RNAcentral. Lineage: Eukaryota; Viridiplantae; Streptophyta; Magnoliopsida; Lamiales; Lamiaceae.
AAAAACUUGAGAAAAAGAAAGAUAUACGAGAGAGAAAAGAAUCUGUGGAGAGAGAGAGAUGAGAGCUUAGUUUUGCUUCAUUUUCAGCUCAGAUUUUCUCAUUGUGUAGAUUGUGUUGUAGCUCUGGUUUUGAUCAUUGAAUAAAGUUGAAUCUGUUAACCCUCCGUGGAUGUAAGCCUAAGGGCUGAACCACGUAUAUCUCGUCUUCUCUAUUUGUUUCUGCAUUGUGGUUUCAGCGUGUCAUUUUGGUUCCAGAUCUUGAAUCUUGUUGAGUUUUCUUGUUGCUUGAGCUAAGUUCCAACAAUAAGCUAUUAGUAAAAGAUAAGAAGUGGUAGCAAUGUCUAUCAACCUAUCACUACAAUUGUCAGUACAAUUGUGUGCAAUUGCACUAUCUAGAGCUGGAGGUGUGCUCGCAGCGAAGUGAGCGUCUUUGCGACGGCGUGGCAUACUGGUUGUAGUGGGAUUGCCGUGGUGAAACUGUCCAACAAACUUGUGUACAGUAUUUUAACCGACUUAAUUUUCGAUUCAAGAAAAAGAUGUGGCGGUUAACGAGUUAUGUGUUCUUUUUUUUUU